RNAcentral lists this long non-coding RNA (1215 nucleotides) under Homo sapiens (human). RNAcentral's name for it is "non-protein coding lnc-USP9Y-7:1". Lineage: Eukaryota; Metazoa; Chordata; Mammalia; Primates; Hominidae. The record is from RNAcentral.
AUGCGAUCAGCCAGCUUGAGUGGACGCACCCGCCCGCCGCCAGGGAAUCUUUGCCGGUGCUACUGUUUUUAUGCUUGCUUCUGAAGACGUGUGAACCUAAAACUGCAAAUGCCUUUAAACCAAAUAUCCUACUGAUCAUGGCGGAUGAUCUAGGCAUUGGGGAUCUCGGUUGCUAUGGGAACAAUACACUGAGAAUGCCAAAUAUUGACCAGCUUGCAGAGGAAGGUGUGAGGCUCACUCAGCACCUGGCGGCCACCCUGCUCUGCACCCCAAGCCGAGCUGCAUUCCUCAUGGGGAGACAUUCUUUCAGGUCAGGCAUGGACGCCAGCAAUGGAUACUGGGCCCUUCAGUGGAAUGCAGGCUCAGGUGGCUCCCUGAGAACGAAACCACUUUUGCAAGAAUCUUGCAGCACCGCGACUAUGCAACUGGCCUCAUAAGUAAGAUUCUUAAUGCCAUCGAAGACAAUGAUUUAAGAAACUCAACAUUCACGUAUUUCACCUCUGACCAUGGAGGACAUUUAGAGGCAAGAGAUGGACACAGGAGUUAGGGGGAUGGAACAGAAUUUACAAAGGUGGGAAGGGCAUAGGAGGAUGGGAAGAUGGGAUCCAUGUGCCCGGGAUUUUCCACUGGCCCAGGGUGCUCCUGGCUGGCUGAGUGAUUGGAGAGCCCACGAGCCUGAUGGACGUGUUCCCUCCUGUGGUCCAGCUGGCAGGCGGCAAGGUGCCCCAGGACAGGGUGAUCGACAACCGCAGCUUGGUGCCCUUGCUGCAGGGAGCUGAGGCAUGCUUAGCACAUGAGUUCCUGUUUCAUUACUGUGGGUAGCAUCUCCACACAGCACACUGGCAACUGAAGGACAGUGGAAGCAUCUGGAAGGUUCAUUACGUGAUCCCACAGUUCCACCCCAUGGGAGCAGGGGCCUGCUACAGCUGAGGCAUCUGCCCAUGCUCCAGGGAGGGCAUGACCCAUCACAGACCCCCUUUGCUCUUUGACCUCUCCACGGACCACUCUGAGGCACAGCCCCUGACCCCUGACUCCAAGCACCUGUACCACGCCAUGAUAGCAAGGGUAGGUGCCGCAGUGUCGAAGCAUUGGCAGACCCUGAGUCCUGUGCCCCAGCAGUUUUCCACAAGCAACAUCUUGUGGAAGCUGUGGCUGCAGCCGUGCUGCAGACAUUUCCCGUUCUGCUCAUGCCCAAGGAUGGGGAUGGCACCCCGA